Molecule: transfer RNA, 74 nt
Filed under: Alpinimonas psychrophila
Lineage: Bacteria; Bacillati; Actinomycetota; Actinomycetes; Micrococcales; Microbacteriaceae
Also listed under: 2 other names
Description: Klugiella sp. Cr8-25 tRNA
Rfam family: tRNA
About the family: Transfer RNA (tRNA) molecules are approximately 80 nucleotides in length. Their secondary structure includes four short double-helical elements and three loops (D, anti-codon, and T loops).
Source: Rfam by way of RNAcentral
GGGGCGGUAGCUCAGCUGGUUAGAGCACACGACUCAUAAUCGUCCGGUCACGGGUUCAAGUCCCGUCCGCCCUA